UACGAAGGGGGCUAGCGUUGCUCGGAAUCACUGGGCGUAAAGGGUGCGUAGGCGGGUCUUUAAGUCAGGGGUGAAAUCCUGGAGCUCAACUCCAGAACUGCCUUUGAUACUGAGGAUCUUGAGUCCGGGAGAGGUGAGUGGAACUGCGAGUGUAGAGGUGAAAUUCGUAGAUAUUCGCAAGAACACCAGUGGCGAAGGCGGCUCACUGGCCCGGAACUGACGCUGAGGCGCGAAAGCGUGGGGAGCAAACAGG
RNAcentral lists this ribosomal RNA (253 nucleotides) under uncultured bacterium. RNAcentral describes it as "partial 16S ribosomal RNA". It matches the Rfam family "Bacterial small subunit ribosomal RNA", at positions 524 to 776 of the family's 1533-position model. The record is from RNAcentral.